GCCCCCUGGGCCGGGCCGGUUCUGCCUUGCCUGCGGUGCGGGGCGGGCCCCCGGGGCCCAGGGCGGUUCUACUUCGCCGCGCGGCGC
Molecule: transfer RNA, 87 nt
Filed under: Streptomyces cirratus
Lineage: Bacteria; Bacillati; Actinomycetota; Actinomycetes; Kitasatosporales; Streptomycetaceae
Description: tRNA-Arg
Source: RNAcentral